Molecule: ribosomal RNA, 266 nt
Filed under: uncultured bacterium
Lineage: Bacteria
Description: partial 16S ribosomal RNA
Rfam family: Bacterial small subunit ribosomal RNA
Source: RNAcentral
AGCACGGACUUCGGUCUGGUGGCGAGUGGCGAACGGGUGAGUAAUAUAUCGGAACGUAUCCAAUAAUGGGGGAUAACUAAUCGAAAGGUUGGCUAAUACCGCAUACGCCCUACGGGUGAAAGCAGGGGAUCUUCGGACCUUGCGUUAUUAGAGCAGCCGAUAUCUGAUUAGGUAGUUGGUGGGGUAAAGGCUCACCAAGGCGACGAUCCGUAGCUGGUCUGAGAGGAUGGACAGCCACACUGGGACUGAGAUACGGCCCAGACUCC